GUGGGGAAUAUUGCACAAUGGGCGCAAGCCUGAUGCAGCAACGCCGCGUGAGGGACGACGGCCUUCGGGUUGUAAACCUCUUUUAGCAGGGAAGAAGCGAAAGUGACGGUACCUGCAGAAAAAGCACCGGCUAACUACGUGCCAGCAGCCGCGGUAAUACGUAGGGUGCAAGCGUUGUCCGGAAUUAUUGGGCGUAAAGAGCUCGUAGGCGGUUUGUCGCGUCUGCUGUGAAAACCCGAGGCUCAACCUCGGGCCUGCAGUGGGUACGGGCAGACUAGAGGGCGGUAGGGGAGAUUGGAAUUCCUGGUGUAGCGGUGGAAUGCGCAGAUAUCAGGAGGAACACCGAUGGCGAAGGCAGAUCUCUGGGCCGUAACUGACGCUGAGGAGCGAAAGCGUGGGGAGCGAACAGGAUUAGAUACCCGAGUAGUCC
This 430-nucleotide ribosomal RNA is filed under the name uncultured bacterium. RNAcentral's name for it is "bacterial SSU rRNA". It matches the Rfam family "Bacterial small subunit ribosomal RNA", at positions 354 to 796 of the family's 1533-position model. The record is from RNAcentral.